RNAcentral lists this ribosomal RNA (292 nucleotides) under uncultured bacterium. RNAcentral describes it as "partial 16S ribosomal RNA". It matches the Rfam family "Bacterial small subunit ribosomal RNA", at positions 505 to 796 of the family's 1533-position model. The record is from RNAcentral.
CUGUCAGCCGCCGCGGUAAUACGAAGGGGGCUAGCGUUACUCGGAAUUACUGGGCGUAAAGGGCGCGUAGGCGGCUUGGCCAGUCAGGCGUGAAAUUCCUGGGCUUAACCUGGGGACUGCGCUUGAUACUGCCAGGCUUGAGGCCGAGAGAGGGUGGUGGAAUUCCCAGUGUAGAGGUGAAAUUCGUAGAUAUUGGGAAGAACACCGGUGGCGAAGGCGACCACCUGGCUCGGUACUGACGCUGAGGCGCGACAGCGUGGGGAGCAAACAGGAUUAGAAACCCGGGUAGUCC